UAUUACAUCAAACGGGAGCGCGCCAAAUUUUAAACGGUCUUAAACAAAGUCUUUAGACUGGAAGUGUUACUAAGAGGAAUCAGGUGUAAUAUCGCUUAAGUAAGAUGAGAAAAAUAACAAUGCAGACGCAACAUUGAUCAGUAAGUCUUAAAUAAAAGUCACAGUAAAACACGAAAUGAAAACUCGUCAGAAGCUAAAGCACUCUAAUGUGAAGCAACACCAUUAUAAAAUUCAACUACCGACAAUAAGAUUUCAAAAUGGGUCAUAUAUUACAACUCUACUGAAGAAAGAUGACAAGCGCACGUUGCUUACC
Non-coding RNA from Ciona intestinalis (vase tunicate), 313 nucleotides. Lineage: Eukaryota; Metazoa; Chordata; Ascidiacea; Phlebobranchia; Cionidae. The record is from RefSeq and is a predicted model, not a curated record.